GCCACGGCCCAUAGAGGGUGCCAGGCCCGUGCGACUGUUUCGGUUCUCGGGAAGACCUCUCCUCAGAGUCGGGUUGCUUGAAAGUGCAGCCCUAAGUGGGUGGUAAACUCCAUCUAAGGCUAAAUAUUCCCACGAGACCGAUAGAGAACAAGUACCGUGAGGGAAAGUGAAAAGAACUUGAAGAGAGUUCAAGAGUACGGAACCGUUCGGGGUAAACGGAUGGACCUGAACCCCGAAUAGAGAUUCAGGGAAGUCCCCUUGCGGCCAUCUGUUCAGGCUGAUCUUCAACUCUACGGAGUUGGGACUCCUGGGGGGUGUCGUUCCGUGCUGGGGCUCCCGCACUUCUCUCUUUUAGGACGUCGCGACUCGUUGGGUGCCGGUCUACGGCCCGGGGUGGAGCUUGUCUGGGCCUCUGCUGUCCUUACAAACCCUCGGUGUCCCGGCUGGCGCUCGACGGUAGACAAAGUGGAGUUUGCCCGCACUUCGGUGCAUUCAGACAUACGCAAGUGUUGGGAGUGUGUUCAGGUGACGGACCUGGUCCGGCCCUGGCCCUUCCGCACUGUUGGUGUAUGUUUCCUUGAACGGGGCGCCUACUCUCCUGUCAGCGGCGUUACGGUUUGAGUGGUCCAUCCGACCCGUCUUGAAACACGGACCAAGGAGUCUAACAUGUGCGCGAGCCAUUGGGAAUUACUAAACCUAAAGGCGCAAUGAAAGUAAAGGUCUCUGUAUAGAGACUGAGGGAAGAUGGAGGAGCUCCUUGUGGGCUUUUAGUCUCGAAGCUUUCGCUAAGAGGCCCUCCCGCAUUCCCGGGGCGUCUCGUUCUCAUUGCGAGAUGAGGCGCACCUAGAGCGUACACGUUGGGACCCGAAAGAUGGUGAACUAUGCCCGGCCAGGACGAAGCCAGGGGAAACCCUGGUGGAGGUCCGUAGCGAUUCUGACGUGCAAAUCGAUCGUCGGAGCUAGGUAUAGGGGCGAAAGACUAAUCGAACCAUCUAGUAGCUGGUUCCCUCCGAAGUUUCCCUCAGGAUAGCUGGUGCUCAUUUGAACGAUAACGAGUCUCAUCCGGUAAAGCGAAUGAUUAGAGGCCUUGGGGCCGAAACGACCUCAACCUAUUCUCAAACUUUAAAUGGGUGAGAAACUCUGCUUGCUUAACGGUGAAGCAGAGUGUACUCUUUGGAUCGGAGUACCCAGUGGGCCACUUUUGGUAAGCAGAACUGGCGCUGUGGGAUGAACCAAACGCUGGGUUAAGGCGCCUAAAUCGAAGCUUAUUUUGAUCCCAUGAAAGGUGUUGGUUGCUUAAGACAGCAGGACGGUGGCCAUGGAAGUCGGAAUCCGCUAAGGAGUGUGUAACAACUCACCUGCCGAAGCAACUAGCCCUGAAAAUGGAUGGCGCUCAAGCUUCGUGCCUAUACCCGGCCGUCACUGCAGUGGAGGAUGCUUAGCACCGAAUGAAGCAGUGACGAGUAGGAGGGUCGCGGCGGUGAGCGCAGAAGGGUCUGGGCGUGAGCCUGCCUGGAGCCGCCGUCGGUGCAGAUCUUGGUGGUAGUAGCAAAUACUCCAGCGAGGGCCUGGAGGACUGAUGUGGAGAAGGGUUUCGUGUGAACAGCCGUUGCACACGAGUCAGUCGAUCCUAAGCCCUAGGAUAACUCUGAAGUGGAUUGCGGGGACCCCCUCGUUAAAGACCAGCGAAAAGGCAAUUGGGCCAACCGCCUGAUCUAACCUGUUCGGGCUAGCUGGCCGGAGUCUGGCAAUCACCCCAUCCUUUGGGCGAAAGGGAAUCUGGUUCCUAUUCCAGAACCGGGCAGCGGAACCGUAUUUCACGGGCCCUCACAAGGGGUUCGUCAGGGUAACCUAACAGGACCCGGAGACGCCGUCGGGAGCUCUGGGAAGAGUUUUCUUUUCUGUAUGAGCGUUCGAGUUCCCUGGAAUCAUCUCGCAUGGAGAUAGGGAAAGGAACGCGAAGAGCACCGCAGUUGCAGCGGUGUCCAGAGAGUCCCGUCGGACCUUGA
Molecule: ribosomal RNA, 2009 nt
Filed under: Thermobia sp. ZG01
Lineage: Eukaryota; Metazoa; Arthropoda; Insecta; Zygentoma; Lepismatidae
Description: eukaryotic LSU rRNA
Rfam family: Eukaryotic large subunit ribosomal RNA
Source: RNAcentral